This is a non-coding RNA of Rhodocollybia butyracea, 84 nucleotides long. The record is from the annotation of a GenBank genome assembly. NCBI's taxonomy places the organism in Eukaryota, Fungi, Basidiomycota, Agaricomycetes, Agaricales, Omphalotaceae.
ACUCGAAUAGUCAAGUGGGCAAGACGCCUUGCACCCAAGAUUUCAUCUUUCAAGGAGGCGGAGGUUCGAUUCCUCCUUUAAGUG